Molecule: ribosomal RNA, 728 nt
Filed under: uncultured Planctomycetota bacterium
Lineage: Bacteria; Pseudomonadati; Planctomycetota
Description: bacterial SSU rRNA
Rfam family: Bacterial small subunit ribosomal RNA
Source: RNAcentral
AUGCAAGUCGAACGAGUCUCUGGGGGGUAACUCCUAGAGGAAAGUGGCGAAAGGGGCAGUAAUGUAUGGGUAACCUACCUUGAGGUCUGGGAUAGCCAUCCUAACGGAUGGGUAAUACUGGACGGCCUGAGUUGUCGGCAUCGAUGAUUUAGUAAAGGUUACGCCUCGAGAGGGGCCCAUAUGAUAUUAGCUAGUUGGUGAGGUAAUGGCUCACCAAGGCAAAGAUGUCUAGCGGGCGUGAGAGCACGACCCGCGUCACUGGCACUGAGACACUGGCCAGACUCCUACGGGAGGCUGCAGUCGAGGAUCUUCGGCAAUGGACGAAAGUCCGACCGAGCAACGCCGCGUGUGCGAUGAAGGCCUUCGGGUUGUAAAGCACUGUCGAGGGGAAACAAGCCGUAAGGUUGAGUGACCCCUGGAGGAAGCACGGGCUAAGUUCGUGCCAGCAGCCGCGGUAAGACGAACCGUGCAAACGUUAUUCGGAAUCACUGGGCUUAAAGGGCGCGUAGGCGGGUAAUCAAGUCAAUGGUGAAAUCCUCCAGCUUAACUGGAGAAGUGCCUUUGAUACUGGUUGUCUAGAGGGAGGUAGGGGCAUGUGGAACUUCAGGUGGAGCGGUGAAAUGCGUAGACAUCUGAAGGAACGCCAGUGGCGAAAGCGAUGUGCUGGACCUCUUCUGACGCUGAGGCGCGAAAGCUAGUGGAUCAAACGGGAUUAGAUACCCCGGUAG